AGACCCGAAACCCGGUGAUCUAGCCAUGGGCAGGUUGAAGGUUGGGUAACACUAACUGGAGGACCGAACCGACUAAUGUUGAAAAAUUAGCGGAUGACCUGUGGCUGGGGGUGAAAGGCCAAUCAAACCGGGAGAUAGCUGGUUCUCCCCGAAAGCUAUUUAGGUAGCGCCUCGUGAAUUCAUCUCCGGGGGUAGAGCACUGUUUCGGCCAGGGGGCCAUCCCGGCUUACCAAUCCGAUGCAAACUGCGAAUACCGGAGAAUGUUAUCACGGGAGACACACGGCGGGUGCUAACGUCCGUCGUGAAGAGGGAAACAACCCAGACCGCCAGCUAAGGUCCCAAAGUCAUGGUUAAGUGGGAAACGAUGUGGGAAGGCCCAGACAGCCAGGAUGUUGGCUUAGAAGCAGCCAUCAUUUAAAGAAAGCGUAAUAGCUCACUGGUCGAGUCGGCCUGCGCGGAAGAUGUAACGGGGCUAAACCAUGCACCGAAGCUGCGGCAGCGAACGUAUCACCCAAGACAACUUUGCACAGUUGACGAUUGACGGAGCGAAGCGACGUCAAAGCGUUUUACAACGUCGAGUUGGCUUAGGGAUACGUUCGUUGGGUAGGGGAGCGUUCUGUAAGCCGUUGAAGGUGUGUCGUGAGGCAUGCUGGAGGUAUCAGAAGUGCGAAUGCUGACAUAAGUAACGAUAAAGCGGGUGAAAAGCCCGCUCGCCGGAAGACCAAGGGUUCCUGUCCAACGUUAAUCGGGGCAGGGUGAGUCGACCCCUAAGGCGAGGCCGAAAGGCGUAGUCGAUGGGAAACGGGUUAAUAUUCCCGUACUUGGUGUUACUGCGAAGGGGGGACGGAGAAGGCUAUGUUGGCCGGGCGACGGUUGUCCCGGUUUAAGCGUGUAGGCUGACUUUCCAGGCAAAUCCGGAGAGUCAAGGCUGAGGCGUGACGACGAGGCACCACGGUGCUGAAGCAACAAAUGCCCUGCUUCCAGGAAAAGCCUCUAAGCCUCAGGUAACAUCAAAUCGUACCCCAAACCGACACAGGUGGUCAGGUAGAGAAUACCAAGGCGCUUGAGAGAACUCGGGUGAAGGAACUAGGCAAAAUGGUGCCGUAACUUCGGGAGAAGGCACGCUGACACGUAGGUGAAGCGGUUUACCCGUGGAGCUGAAGUCAGUCGAAGAUACCAGCUGGCUGCAACUGUUUAUUAAAAACACAGCACUGUGCAAACACGAAAGUGGACGUAUACGGUGUGACGCCUGCCCGGUGCCGGAAGGUUAAUUGAUGGGGUCAGCGCAAGCGAAGCUCCUGAUCGAAGCCCCGGUAAACGGCGGCCGUAACUAUAACGGUCCUAAGGUAGCGAAAUUCCUUGUCGGGUAAGUUCCGACCUGCACGAAUGGCGUAAUGAUGGCCAGGCUGUCUCCACCCGGGACUCAGUGAAAUUGAACUCGCUGUGAAGAUGCAGUGUACCCGCGGCAAGACGGAAAGACCCCGUGAACCUUUACUAUAGCUUGACACUGAACACUGGUCCUUGAUGUGCAGGAUAGGUGGGAGGCUUUGAAGUGUGGACGCCAGUCUGCAUGGAGCCAUCCUUGAAAUACCACCCUUUAAUGGCUGGUGUUCUAACGUGGACCCGUAAUCCGGGUUGCGGACAGUGUCUGGUGGGUAGUUUGACUGGGGCGGUCUCCUCCUAAAGAGUAACGGAGGAGCACGAAGGUUGGCUAAUCCUGGUCGGACAUCAGGAGGUUAGUGCAAUGGCAUAAGCCAGCUUGACUGCGAGCGUGACGGCGCGAGCAGGUGCGAAAGCAGGUCAUAGUGAUCCGGUGGUUCUGAAUGGAAGGGCCAUCGCUCAACGGAUAAAAGGUACUCCGGGGAUAACAGGCUGAUACCGCCCAAGAGUUCAUAUCGACGGCGGUGUUUGGCACCUCGAUGUCGGCUCAUCACAUCCUGGGGCUGAAGUAGGUCCCAAGGGUAUGGCUGUUCGCCAUUUAAAGUGGUACGCGAGCUGGGUUUAGAACGUCGUGAGACAGUUCGGUCCCUAUCUGCCGUGGGCGCUGGAAGAUUGAGGGGGGCUGCUCCUAGUACGAGAGGACCGGAGUGGACGCAUCACUGGUGUUCGGGUUGUCAUGCCAAUGGCACUGCCCGGUAGCUACAUGCGGAAGAGAUAAGUGCUGAAAGCAUCUAAGC
RNAcentral lists this ribosomal RNA (2177 nucleotides) under Salmonella enterica. Its description in RNAcentral is "partial 23S ribosomal RNA". It matches the Rfam family "Bacterial large subunit ribosomal RNA", at positions 711 to 2786 of the family's 2925-position model. The record is from RNAcentral. Lineage: Bacteria; Pseudomonadati; Pseudomonadota; Gammaproteobacteria; Enterobacterales; Enterobacteriaceae.